RNAcentral lists this long non-coding RNA (218 nucleotides) under Elaeis guineensis (African oil palm). RNAcentral describes it as "long non-coding RNA (EGUI_LNC057994)". Lineage: Eukaryota; Viridiplantae; Streptophyta; Magnoliopsida; Arecales; Arecaceae. The record is from RNAcentral.
CCCAAAAUGUGUGAGACUCAUGAUCAGAGAAUCCUGAUUCUCAAUCAUAGAGUCCCAGACAUGUAGGACUCAUAGUAUACGAGCGUUAGGACUCUUCAUCAGCCAUCAGAUUAGAUAGAAACUUCUAAUGUGUGUGACCCCGUAGGUUCGAACCUAAGCCUGUAGCACAGGAACCAAUUCCUGUACUAAUCGAAGUGACCAUCUAGCAAUGGUACCCG